Molecule: ribosomal RNA, 327 nt
Filed under: uncultured eukaryote
Lineage: Eukaryota
Description: partial 18S ribosomal RNA
Rfam family: Eukaryotic small subunit ribosomal RNA
Source: RNAcentral
CCCUUAGAUGUUCUGGGCUGCACGCGCGCUACACUGAUGCGCUCAACGAGUUUACGACCUUGCCCGGAAGGGUUGGGUAAUCUUUUUAAAACGCAUCGUGAUGGGGAUAGAUUAUUGCAAUUAUUAAUCUUUAACGAGGAAUUCCUAGUAAGCGCGAGUCAUCAGCUCGUGCUGAUUACGUCCCUGCCCUUUGUACACACCGCCCGUCGCUCCUACCGAUUGAAUGAUUCGGUGAAGAUUCCGGACCGUGUUGUCACCGCUUCACGGCGGUUUUGACGUGGGAAGUUAUCUAAACCUCAUCAUUUAGAGGAAGGUGAAGUCGUAACA